UGGGGAAUAUUGCGCAAUGGGGGCAACCCUGACGCAGCAACGCCGCGUGCGGGACGACGGCCUUCGGGUUGUAAACCGCUUUCAGCAGGGAAGAUAGUGACGGUACCUGCACAAGAAGCCCCGGCUAACUACGUGCCAGCAGCCGCGGUAAUACGUAAGGUCCGAGCGUUGUCCGGAAUCAUUGGGCGUAAAGGGUACGUAGGCGGAUAAGCAAGUUAGAAGUGAAAUCCUAUAGCUCAACUAUAGUAAGCUUUUAAAACUGCUCAUCUUGAGGUAUGGAAGGGAAAGUGGAAUUCCUAGUGUAGCGGUGAAAUGCGCAGAUAUUAGGAGGAAUACCGGUGGCGAAGGCGACUUUCUGGCCAUAUACUGACGCUGGGGUACGAAAGCGUGGGUAGCAAACAGG
RNAcentral lists this ribosomal RNA (403 nucleotides) under Verrucomicrobiota bacterium. RNAcentral describes it as "Verrucomicrobia bacterium partial 16S ribosomal RNA". It matches the Rfam family "Bacterial small subunit ribosomal RNA", at positions 355 to 776 of the family's 1533-position model. The record is from RNAcentral. Lineage: Bacteria; Pseudomonadati; Verrucomicrobiota.